GCCACGGCUAGGCCGGCCAGCCGAAAGCGGGAAACCUUCUCCCGUCGCCGUGGCUACCUCUGAAGGG
RNAcentral lists this small RNA (67 nucleotides) under Beta vulgaris subsp. vulgaris (sugar beet). Its description in RNAcentral is "int-alpA RNA". It matches the Rfam family "int-alpA RNA". From Rfam's summary of the family: Acidobacteria (1 example), Planctomycetes (1 example), Proteobacteria. Environment (Lake Washington) The record is from Rfam by way of RNAcentral. Lineage: Eukaryota; Viridiplantae; Streptophyta; Magnoliopsida; Caryophyllales; Amaranthaceae.